This 597-nucleotide ribosomal RNA is filed under the name fungal sp. CB32_(5S). RNAcentral's name for it is "eukaryotic LSU rRNA". The stretch from base 229 to 382 matches the Rfam family "5.8S ribosomal RNA". The record is from RNAcentral. Lineage: Eukaryota; Fungi.
AAGUCGUAACAAGGUUUCCGUAGGUGAACCUGCGGAAGGAUCAUUACCGAGUGUAGGGUUCCUAGCGAGCCCAACCUCCCACCCGUGUUUACUGUACCUUAGUUGCUUCGGCGGGCCCGCCAUUCAUGGCCGCCGGGGGCUCUCAGCCCCGGGCCCGCGCCCGCCGGAGACACCACGAACUCUGUCUGAUCUAGUGAAGUCUGAGUUGAUUGUAUCGCAAUCAGUUAAAACUUUCAACAAUGGAUCUCUUGGUUCCGGCAUCGAUGAAGAACGCAGCGAAAUGCGAUAACUAGUGUGAAUUGCAGAAUUCCGUGAAUCAUCGAGUCUUUGAACGCACAUUGCGCCCCCUGGUAUUCCGGGGGGCAUGCCUGUCCGAGCGUCAUUGCUGCCCAUCAAGCACGGCUUGUGUGUUGGGUCGUCGUCCCCUCUCCGGGGGGGACGGGCCCCAAAGGCAGCGGCGGCACCGCGUCCGAUCCUCGAGCGUAUGGGGCUUUGUCACCCGCUCUGUAGGCCCGGCCGGCGCUUGCCGAACGCAAAUCAAUCUUUUUCCAGGUUGACCUCGGAUCAGGUAGGGAUACCCGGUGAACUUAAGCAUAU